This is a long non-coding RNA of Nomia melanderi (Alkali bee), 2477 nucleotides long. RefSeq lists it as uncharacterized. The record is from RefSeq and is a predicted model, not a curated record. NCBI's taxonomy places the organism in Eukaryota, Metazoa, Arthropoda, Insecta, Hymenoptera, Halictidae.
UUGAAAGGAAAUUCACAUGAUGAGAGGCGAGCGUAUCAACAGAUUGCAGAGAAAUCUGGAGAACGAAAACAGGAUGGCAAACCGUUGCGGCCUCUCACGAGAGGAGGACAGACGUGGUCGAGGAACUUACGGGAAACAGAAGAAUAAUGUGGUGGUGCUGAGUAGAACUGUCCAGGCGCAAGUAGCUGGUAGAAACUUCGCCCUCACAUCGCAUAUCGGCAUUCUGCACGCUCCACUUUGUGGUCGACGAUUAACGAAUUAUUAAUGGAUUUAUAUAACAACAGACAGUAUCAUUAUCUUCAAGAAUAAUCUCGUGAUACCUCGUACGAACGCGAUCCCAUUUGUCCGUCCAUUCAAAGUAUCUACCAACAGAUCAUUAUCUUCAAGAAUAGUCUCACGUUUGAAUGUCAACGAAGGGCGAAACUUCGAGAGCCGACAUGGUCCAACGUGGGACAGCAUCCGCAUGCUUCUCUAACGAGUUGUCUUCUGACUCUUGCCAAGGGGACGCUGAUUUUCAGCACUUGGCACCGAGACGUAAUUGCCUUUGCACGGCCUGCUCGCCGUUGUCACUUCUUGCCGAUGAAAAGGUGGGGACACAGGAGUCUGAGGGAGAGAGAGGGGGGGUGGAUCGCGACGGUGGAACAUCCACCAAACAACGAUGACCACAGCGAUGAUGAGGAGGAUGCGUUGGCACCGAAAAUAUUUCUAACGAGACAAAUUCACUUACAACGUAUCCGUUGGCCGUGCUUCACACGCGCCACGGUACCGUUGCGGAACGAGGAUCGCCUGAAUGAAAAUGGAACGGCCACAGACACACUUCAGGAUCUUGACACCCAGAACGAAAAUCUUCGCAUGAACUCGCUCGCGAAUGAUUGAUUGCCCCGGCAUUAUUUAUAGACCGGGCGCGAUGGUCGAGAGGGAUUUACGGUGAAGAUGAUAAUAACAACGUGUAGUAAACAUGUAGAAUUAACCAUCGAAUCGUUAGAUUGUCUGGCGGCCGUGUCACGGAUGCAGGCUUCAUUCAACAGAUCCGAAACAAUAACCUCGUCGUUCUGGACAAUUUUCCUCGGCGCUUUACUUUGUCUUCGUAGAAGCUAUCGGCGUGUAUUAUUAACCUUUUGCACUCGGAAGCUUCUUGCUAGAAAUAUUUCACAUUGCUUGAGGCGAAGACGAUAUUCUUUGAAACUAAUUCAGGGAAGUCACUAGUGCAUUGAACAGAGCUACUUUAUUCCAAUCUUUCACGUAUAGAGACACUGUACAAAGUUCAUCAGAUAUCAAAUUUUAUAGUCUUACUGUGUCAAAUUAAAUGGUGAGUCACCUAUCGAGUGCAAAGGGUUAAUGUACAUUGACAGCUUCUACAAAGAUACUUGUAACGACAAACAUUGUCCAGAAAUAUGAGGCUAUUGUUUCGUGAUUAAAUUAACACUAGAACUAGCAGCUGUCAAUUGGAAUCUUAACCCUUUGCACUUGGAAGUUGUUCACUAGAGAUCUUCAACGUUCUCUGAUGAGACAUAGACAAUAUUUCUGAAAAUUACUGAGGAAUAACGCAUGAACUGAGAAGAUAUUUUAUUCAAUAUUUAAUUGGUGCAUUAUGCAAAACUUAACGUUAAACAUCCAACUUAACUUUAUAUCAAAUGAAACUGUGACUACACCUCUCGAGUACAAAGGGUCAAGAUUCCAAUUGACUCUAGCUAAUUCUAGUGUUAAUUUAAUCAGACGUGUUAUGAGGUUAUUGAUAUACAAAUACAAAGUCAACAGUCAACAGCUUCGCCUCUCGUCCGCUGUUCAAAGAAUUCUAUGGCAAUAUUUUGGUUUCUAUCAGAUCAAAGCGGACAUGGGAUUAGGAGACAUUUAUUCAACCAGAAUAUAUUAAUUCACGAAAGCUGAUGUAAUCAUUGAAACUGUACUGUCGAGGGUUAACAUUGCAAACGAUUUUCGUUGCCUGUUGUAUUUAAAAAUAUCGGUACCUAUAAUUCACGCGGGAUAGAUAAAGGCACUCGAAAGACAAAAGCUUUCCGAAAAAAGUGAUAAUAAUAUCUCACGGCAGUCGGCGAAAUAAAUAGCUCUUAUCCAUCUGACGCGCUGUCGCGGCUAAUUGAUGUGUAGGUGACGCGGCACUGGCAUUCUUGGAAUGUUCAUCAAAUGAGAGACAAUUGAGCCACUCAUUAGCCAAAUCGGUGAAUUAAAUUCGAAACGAGAACUAGGGAAGAAUGAUGCAACGGUACUCCUGAAUUUUCCGUGUUUCUCUAUAAACUGAGAAUCAAUGACAUUAUAGAAUGUAUUUUACUCUAUUGUUACAGAUGCUUUAUAUACAUAUAAGGAAUUAACAAGUUGUUUGAUACAUCAGACACCAAGUGUGGAUCUUCUAGAUUACUUCUAGAUCACUUCAAAACGAUUGCAAUCAGAAAAUCGACGUCGAAUCAAAUUCACUAAGUGACUAGACAACGUAACGUAAUAUCAAAUCACUAAUAAUCAUU